CACUAUGAAGCUAGUAGCGCUAACCUUUUAAGUUAGAGAUAAGGGACUCCACAACCCCCAUAGUGA
Molecule: transfer RNA, 66 nt
Filed under: Tupaia belangeri (northern tree shrew)
Lineage: Eukaryota; Metazoa; Chordata; Mammalia; Scandentia; Tupaiidae
Description: tRNA (ENSTBEG00000021329.1)
Source: RNAcentral